AGCGGGAAGCCACCUGGCGACAGGGAGCGGAACCCGAAAGCCUGUCUCAGUUCGGAUUGGAGUCUGCAACCCGACUCCAUGAAGCUGGAUUCGCUAGUAAUCGCGCAUCAGCCACGGCGCGGUGAAUACGUUCCCGGGCCUUGUACACACCGCCCGUCAAGCCAUGGAAGCCGGGGGUGCCUGAAGUGCGCUGCCGCAAGGAGCGCCCUAGGGUAAAACCGGUGACUGGGGCUAAGUCGUAACAAGGUAGC
RNAcentral lists this ribosomal RNA (251 nucleotides) under uncultured bacterium. RNAcentral describes it as "partial 16S ribosomal RNA". It matches the Rfam family "Bacterial small subunit ribosomal RNA", at positions 1241 to 1500 of the family's 1533-position model. The record is from RNAcentral.